AACGCUAGCUACAGGCUUAACACAUGCAAGUCGAGGGGCAGCGGGGAGAGUAGCAAUACUUUCCGCCGGCGACCGGCGCACUGGUGAGUAACACGUAUGCGACCUGCCCUCCACAGGGGGAUAAACCAUGGAAACGUGGCCUAAUACCCCAUAUGCCGUUAUGCUGCAUGGCAUUCCGGUGAAAGACGAGUCGGUGGAGGAUGGGCAUGCGGCGCAUUAGCUUGUUGGCGGGGCAACGGCCCACCAAGGCGACGAUGCGUAGGGGUUCUGAGAGGAAGGUCCCCCACACUGGUACUGAGACACGGACCAGACUCCUACGGGAGGCAGCAGUGAGGAAUAUUGGUCAAUGGGCGGGAGCCUGAACCAGCCAAGUCGCGUGGGGGAUGACGGUCCUACGGAUUGUAAACCCCUUUUGCCGGGGAGUAACGUGUGGGACGUGUCCCGCAGUGAGAGUACCCGGAGAAAAAGCAUCGGCUAACUCCGUGCCAGCAGCCGCGGUAAUACGGAGGAUGCGAGCGUUAUCCGGAUUUAUUGGGUUUAAAGGGUGCGCAGGCGGCGCGUCAAGUCAGCGGUCAAAUCCCGGUGCUCAACGCCGGUCCGCCGUUGAAACUGCCGUGCUCGAGUUCGUGCGAGGAGAGCGGAAUGCGUGGUGUAGCGGUGAAAUGCAUAGAUAUCACGAAGAACUCCGAUUG
RNAcentral lists this ribosomal RNA (692 nucleotides) under uncultured bacterium. Its description in RNAcentral is "bacterial SSU rRNA". It matches the Rfam family "Bacterial small subunit ribosomal RNA", at positions 32 to 715 of the family's 1533-position model. The record is from RNAcentral.